Molecule: long non-coding RNA, 542 nt
Filed under: Brassica napus (rape)
Lineage: Eukaryota; Viridiplantae; Streptophyta; Magnoliopsida; Brassicales; Brassicaceae
Description: long non-coding RNA (BNAP_LNC008103)
Source: RNAcentral
GGCCCACGAAUUAUAUUGUGUCGAUGGUUUUGGAAAUAUGUUUAGGGUAGAAUAAGUUUAUUUUCUCUUUUGGAAUAUUCUUUUGUUUAUUUAUUAAAGAUUAAAAAAAGGAAUGGCAUGAAAAUGUAAUUUUUUCAAAAAACAAAGGCAGGGAAUCAGGGAUCCUAAAAGGGAUUCUGCUUUAAUAGUAUACUAGAUUUUGACCCGCGCUUUGAAAGCGCGGGAUCGUUUUUUUUUAAUUUCAUUUAAAUUAAUAAAUAUUUGUCCAAUCUAUAUUUUAAUAGAUUUUAUAUUUGUUUAUAGUCAAUUAAUAAAUUUAGUGCUGCUUAUUUAUAAUAAGAAGUAUUCUGCUUUAAUAGUAUAGAUAAACUAGAUUUAAUAAUAUUUUUAAUUUACAAAAAUUUAUUUAGUAAAAAAUAUAAUUUAUAAACAGUUUAUCUUAUGUUUUGUAUAAUAUUAUCUAUUCAAAAACUUUUGGAUACUGAAUAUAAUCAUUAUCACUGUUCUAUACAAAUGUUUUUAAAAAUAUUUUAAAAUUGAUG